CUACGGGCGGCAGCAGUGGGGAAUAUUGCACAAUGGGCGCAAGCCUGAUGCAGCAACGCCGCGUGGGGGACGACGGCCUUCGGGUUGUAAACCUCUUUUAGUAGGGAAGAAGCGCAAGUGACGGUACCUACAGAAAAAGCACUGGCUAACUACGUGCCAGCAGCCGCGGUAAUACGUAGGGUGCAAGCGUUGUCCGGAAUUAUUGGGCGUAAAGAGCUCGUAGGCGGUUUGUCGCGUCUGCUGUGAAAAUCCGAGGCUCAACCUCGGACCUGCAGUGGGUACGGGCAAACUAGAGUGCGGUAGGGGAGAUUGGAAUUCCUGGUGUAGCGGUGGAAUGCGCAGAUAUCAGGAGGAACACCAAUGGCGAAGGCAGAUCUCUGGGCCGUAACUGACGCUGAGGAGCGAAAGCGUGGGGAGCGAACAGGAUUAGAUACCCCGGUAGUC
RNAcentral lists this ribosomal RNA (444 nucleotides) under uncultured bacterium. Its description in RNAcentral is "partial 16S ribosomal RNA". It matches the Rfam family "Bacterial small subunit ribosomal RNA", at positions 339 to 795 of the family's 1533-position model. The record is from RNAcentral.